Charadrius vociferus (killdeer) is the source of this 387-nucleotide non-coding RNA. The record is from the annotation of a RefSeq genome assembly. NCBI's taxonomy places the organism in Eukaryota, Metazoa, Chordata, Aves, Charadriiformes, Charadriidae.
AUGGUGGCAGCAGCUAUGGUGUCUGGAGGACAAGGAAAAAUAGGAAGUUCCCUGGUCCAGGCAAUGCUGACUCAGCCAUCUUCAGUGUCAGCGAACACGGGACAAACUGUCCAGAUCACCUGCUCCGGGAUUAGCAGCAGCAGCAAUGAAGUUGGCUGGUUCCAGCAGAAGGUUCCUGGCACUGCCCCUAUCACUGUGAUCUAUGCUAACGACAAGAGACCCUCGGGCAUCCCUCCGCGAUUCUCCGGAUCCAAAUCUGGCUCCACAGGCACCUUAACCAUCACUGGGGUCCAAGCCGAGGACGAGGCUGUCUAUUACUGUGGUAGUGCAGACAGCAGCAGUGCUGAUCUCAGGGUGACACUGAGCCACGGGCAAGUGAGAUCUUGA